Molecule: ribosomal RNA, 503 nt
Filed under: uncultured bacterium
Lineage: Bacteria
Description: partial 16S ribosomal RNA
Rfam family: Bacterial small subunit ribosomal RNA
Source: RNAcentral
AUUGAACGCUGGCGGCAGGCUUAACACAUGCAAGUCGAGCGGGGUGAUGGUGCUUGCACUAUCACUUAGCGGCGGACGGGUGAGUAAUGCUUAGGAAUCUGCCUAUUAGUGGGGGACAACAUCUCGAAAGGGAUGCUAAUACCGCAUCCGUCCUACGGGAGAAAGCAGGGGAUCACUUUCCAACUUCCGUUAAUCGAUGCGCGUAAGUCGGAUUAGCUAGUUGGUGGGGUAAAGGCCUACCAAGGCGACGAUCUGUAGCGGGUCUGAGAGGAUGAUCCGCCACACUGGGACUGAGACACGGCCCAGACUCCUACGGGAGGCAGCAGUGGGGAAUAUUGGACAAUGGGGGGAACCCUGAUCCAGCCAUGCCGCGUGUGUGAAGAAGGCCUUAUGGUUGUAAAGCACUUUAAGCGAGGAGGAGGCUCUUUUGGUUAAUACCCAAGAUGAGUGGACGUUACUCGCAGAAUAAGCACCGGCUAACUCUGUGCCAGCCGCCGCGGUAA